AAAUAUUAAUUGAGCAUCUAUUAUAUGUAGCCACUGUGAUGGGCACUGUGAUGCAACUGAACAGAUGGACAAAGGCCCUUCCUUCUUAGAGCUUUAAGUCUGCAUGGUAGAGGGAAAAUGAUCUGGUACCAAUGAAUUAAGAAGAUAAUUCCAGAUGGUGACAAAUAUCCCCCAGAGGUUACUGACAGACCAAAAUAUCCUGACAACCCCGGAAUGCCAGAAGGAGAGAAGGGGUUUGUAAAUCUGAGGACCUUGACUACUUUUAUAUCCCCAAUCUCAUCUUAAAUCUGAAUUGAACCUGUCAUAUUAUAGCCUGGCUCUUCUCUCACCAACUAUUUGGGGAACCCAGCCAACAUACUGUGAUGAAGCCUAAACAACUGUGGAGAGGCUCACGUGGAGAGGAGUCAAUGCCCACUGAUCUAUAAGCCUUGGCUGAGCUCUGAGCCAACAGUCAUGAUCAACUUCCAGCCGUAUAAGUGAACCAUCUUGAAAGAGGCUUCACCAGCACCAAGUUGAGCAACUUGAUUAUGUUACCAAAGAUCACCUCCUUCCUAUCAUCUUCCGUCUGAGACUUGCUUAGAGUGAGUUUGGAAGCUGUGUUUUGCUCAUCCUGAAGACUGAACAUAAGAAAAUAUUGCUCAAGUUCUGGAUGAUGCAGCUGCUGAAAUAAUCUGUGGUGCACUUUCCUUCAGGAAUCCUUACCUAUUUUUUCAGGUGUUCCACAAGCCUUCUUAUCUUGGAAUUCAGUAAUACUUAUUGUGUGGUUGCUUACUGUUCCCUAGGCACCCUGAAGCAUUGAAGCUUUGAAGCUUUGUCUCAUGCUUUCAAGUAAUGUUCUCGUGUUUACCUGCUGAUAUUCCUUCAAAGUUAGAGGCUGCCUCUCUCCAAGUGUGGAAAAAAACAAUCAGAUGUCACUAAGAUAUUGUGUAACAAUUCAUAUUAAACACAUGAUCUUGUCAGUCAAGAAGAAGAGAUUAAAACAAACACCUUGAGAGUUCAUGAGUAGAAGUAUACAGCCCUGCAUUCAUGAUAAUAUGGUGCAUUUUACCUACCUUGCAGCAGAAAGAGAUAUCUAAUUCCAUACACAGCAAUGUAACUGUUUAAAGUGCUCCUAAAAUUCAGACAAAACAAAUUAUAAAUAGUAUCAAGAUCAAAGAAGCUGAAAGUCCCUAUGUUUGAUGUAGGCACAGCAAAGUUUGAUGUAUAUGCUCAUUUCUCAGCACUGCAAGUAUGGAGAAACCAUCAGAAAGCAUGCUGAAAAUAGAGAGGGCUUCUAAAACAGAAAGCUCCUGCCUGUUUUACUGAAGGCUACCAGAUUCUUUCUCAGAAAUUUUGUACAGUUCAGAGGCACAAAUGCUCUUUUAGGUCCUUUGAAGCACUGGGUUUAAUAUCGGAAUUUAAUCUUGGCUCUAGUCUCCAAUUCCUUACAUAGUCAUUCAAGCAAUCUUGGGGACCAAGUCUUCCAAUAGCAUAGUGAUAUUCAUGCCUGAAGUGGGAGGAAUAGAUAUCCUCCUCAUUAACAAGGGAUGAGAGAUCAUGUUUCAUAGGCAAAAUACUCAUGCAUGCAAAAAUGUAACUUUUCCAGUAAUUUUUUUAGUACUGAAAUUAGCUUAGCUCAUUAGCUCUCUCUUCUACCUAGUAGCAGGGAAUGCAGUUUUGCUAACCCAGGUGACUCAUUAUUUCUGUUUUCAAGUUUAGUUUAUUUUAGGUAAAUUUUUGAAUUCAUAAUGUUUUUCUGACCUUUCU
This 1746-nucleotide long non-coding RNA is filed under the name Homo sapiens (human). RNAcentral describes it as "HSALNT0401061". Lineage: Eukaryota; Metazoa; Chordata; Mammalia; Primates; Hominidae. The record is from RNAcentral.